GUAGAUUUCUCCUUUGUCCUCAAGUUUUGAACCAGUUUCAAAGAGACGUGUUUCCUUGUUUUGUUUCCUUGUUUUGCUGCAGCAACACUCUAGAAAAUAUCACCCUGUGGAUAAACAGCAUGAUGUUUAUGAAUCUAGAUAUGUCUGUGAAUGUUACUGAAUGUCCUUGAACGCAUCAUGGUAGAGAAACUCAGGUGACUUAAUGUAAAUGAGGAAGGGAGGGGCUCAUGUUUCACAGGUAGCAGGAAGUGAAGAGAAACUCUGAAGAACGAGUGAAUUAAAUCAAGUCUCUCUAAGAGUUGAAGUCCAGAAGAUGGAAGAUCAGGACAGAGCAGAACCUCCAGGACCCAUCAGUCCAUCUAUGAGGAGUGACCGGUCCAAAGAUCCUCCUCCAGAGUUCAGUAAUGAACCUGGACCAUCAGACAGAAAGAGCUGUGAGUGUGAAGAAAGACCCAGAACAGGAGCUGAACGGCCGACA
Long non-coding RNA from Xiphophorus hellerii (green swordtail), 478 nucleotides. RefSeq lists it as uncharacterized. The transcript is spliced from 3 exons. Lineage: Eukaryota; Metazoa; Chordata; Actinopteri; Cyprinodontiformes; Poeciliidae. The record is from RefSeq and is a predicted model, not a curated record.